CGAGUCUGCCCUGAAGAUCGGAGUGCUUGCACUCUGUGAAACAAGAUACAGGCUAGCGGCGGACGGGUGAGUAGCACGUGGGUAACCUGCCCAAGAGAUCGGGAUAACACCUGGAAACAGAUGCUAAUACCGGAUAACAACAGAUGAUGCCUAUCAACUGUUUAAAAGAUGGUUCUGCUAUCACUCUUGGAUGGACCUGCGGUGCAUUAGCUAGUUGGUAGGGUAACGGCCUACCAAGGCGAUGAUGCAUAGCCGAGUUGAGAGACUGAUCGGCCACAUUGGGACUGAGACACGGCCCAAACUCCUACGGGAGGCAGCAGUAGGGAAUCUUCCACAAUGGACGCAAGUCUGAUGGAGCAACGCCGCGUGAGUGAAGAAGGGUUUCGGCUCGUAAAGCUCUGUUGUUGGUGAA
Molecule: ribosomal RNA, 412 nt
Filed under: uncultured Lactobacillus sp.
Lineage: Bacteria; Bacillati; Bacillota; Bacilli; Lactobacillales; Lactobacillaceae
Description: bacterial SSU rRNA
Rfam family: Bacterial small subunit ribosomal RNA
Source: RNAcentral